This 80-nucleotide small nucleolar RNA is filed under the name Phaseolus vulgaris (common bean). Its description in RNAcentral is "Small nucleolar RNA snoR20a". It matches the Rfam family "Small nucleolar RNA snoR20a". From Rfam's summary of the family: The O.sativum sequence was obtained from the plant snoRNA database. Lineage: Eukaryota; Viridiplantae; Streptophyta; Magnoliopsida; Fabales; Fabaceae. The record is from Rfam by way of RNAcentral.
GCCAAUGAUGCUAAUACUAUUAGCUGAAAUGCGAUUAUUCGUAUUUUUGUUGAAAAUUUUGAACUAGGACGGUCUGAGGC